CACCGGAGCUUGCUCCACCGGGAAAAGAGGAGUGGCGAACGGGUGAGUAACACGUGGGUAACCUGCCCAUCAGAAGGGGAUAACACUUGGAAACAGGUGCUAAUACCGUAUAACAAUCGAAACCGCAUGGUUUCGUUUUGAAAGGCGCUUUACGGUGCCGCUGAUGGAUGGACCCGCGGUGCAUUAGCUAGUUGGUGAGGUAACGGCUCACCAAGGCCACGAUGCAUAGCCGACCUGAGAGGGUGAUCGGCCACAUUGGGACUGAGACACGGCCCAAACUCCUACGGGAGGCAGCAGUAGGGAAUCUUCGGCAAUGGACGAAAGUCUGACCGAGCAACGCCGCGUGAGUGAAGAAGGUUUUCGGAUCGUAAAACUCUGUUGUUAGAGAAGAACAAGGGUGAGAGUAACUGUUCACCCCUUGACGGUAUCUAACCAGAAAGCCACGGCUAACUACGUGCCAGCAGCCGCGGUAAUACGUAGGUGGCAAGCGUUGUCCGGAUUUAUUGGGCGUAAAGCGAGCGCAGGCGGUUUCUUAAGUCUGAUGUGAAAGCCCCCGGCUCAACCGGGGAGGGUCAUUGGAAACUGGGAGACUUGAGUGCAGAAGAGGAGAGUGGAAUUCCAUGUGUAGCGGUGAAAUGCGUAGAUAUAUGGAGGAACACCAGUGGCGAA
Molecule: ribosomal RNA, 669 nt
Filed under: uncultured bacterium
Lineage: Bacteria
Description: bacterial SSU rRNA
Rfam family: Bacterial small subunit ribosomal RNA
Source: RNAcentral